Molecule: ribosomal RNA, 253 nt
Filed under: uncultured bacterium
Lineage: Bacteria
Description: partial 16S ribosomal RNA
Rfam family: Bacterial small subunit ribosomal RNA
Source: RNAcentral
UACGUAGGGUGCGAGCGUUGUCCGGAAUUAUUGGGCGUAAAGGGCUCGUAGGCGGUUUGUCGCGUCGGGAGUGAAAAUCCAGGGCUUAACUCUGGACUGGCUUCCGAUACGGGCAGACUAGAGGUAUGCAGGGGAGAACGGAAUUCCUGGUGUAGCGGUGAAAUGCGCAGAAAUCAGGAGGAACACCGGUGGCGAAGGCGGUUCUCUGGGCAUUACCUGACGCUGAGGAGCGAAAGUGUGGGGAGCGAACAGG